Molecule: transfer RNA, 71 nt
Filed under: Stegodyphus mimosarum
Lineage: Eukaryota; Metazoa; Arthropoda; Arachnida; Araneae; Eresidae
Rfam family: tRNA
About the family: Transfer RNA (tRNA) molecules are approximately 80 nucleotides in length. Their secondary structure includes four short double-helical elements and three loops (D, anti-codon, and T loops).
Source: Rfam by way of RNAcentral
GCCUUCUUGGUGUAAUGGUAGCACACUCGGCGCAUAUUCGAGAGGUCUAGGUUCGAGUCCCGGCAAGGGCA